RNAcentral lists this ribosomal RNA (327 nucleotides) under uncultured eukaryote. RNAcentral describes it as "partial 18S ribosomal RNA". It matches the Rfam family "Eukaryotic small subunit ribosomal RNA", at positions 1470 to 1796 of the family's 1831-position model. The record is from RNAcentral.
CCCUUAGAUGUUCUGGCCGCACGCGCGUUACACUGAGUGUCUGAGAUACGAGUCUGCCUGGUCCGGCAAGGUCUAGGUAAUCGCUAAAAGACACAUCAUGCUUGGGAUAGAUUAUUGCAAAUAUUAAUCUUGAACGAGGAAUUCCUAGUAAGCGCAAGUCAACAGCUUGCGUUGAUUACGUCCCUGCCCUUUGUACACACCGCCCGUCGCUACUACUGAUUGAAUGGUUCGGUGAAGAUCUCGGACUUCGAUAUUUAUUCUUUAUUGAGUUUAUAUUGUGGGAAGUUAUCUAAACCUCAUCAUUUAGAGGAAGGUGAAGUCGUAACA